RNAcentral lists this ribosomal RNA (257 nucleotides) under uncultured bacterium. RNAcentral describes it as "partial 16S ribosomal RNA". It matches the Rfam family "Bacterial small subunit ribosomal RNA", at positions 524 to 776 of the family's 1533-position model. The record is from RNAcentral.
UACGAAGGGGGCUAGCGUUGCUCGGAAUCACUGGGCGUAAAGGGUGCGUAGGCGGGGUCUUUUAAGUCAGGGGGUGAAAUCCUGGAGCUCAACUCCAGAACUGCCUUUGAUACUGAGGAUCUUGAGUUCGGGAGAGGUGAGUGGAACUGCGAGUGUAGAGGUGAAAUUCGUAGAUAUUCGCAAGAACACCAGUGGCGAAGGCGGCUCACUGGCCCGAUACUGACGCUGAGGCACGAAAGCGUGGGGGAGCAAACAGG